GGGUAUGUGCUUGUAUGCGUUUUGCUCUGCAAAGGUGAAAUUUUGGUUUGUUCCUCGUGCCUU
Molecule: transfer RNA, 63 nt
Filed under: Brachylecithum sp. PakAb2
Lineage: Eukaryota; Metazoa; Platyhelminthes; Trematoda; Plagiorchiida; Dicrocoeliidae
Description: tRNA-Cys
Source: RNAcentral